AGGGCCUACCAUUAUUCUACAUAGUGUUGAUUUCUGCUGCUGGAUCUCUGUUGAUUGUAGCUGCAGUCGUGAUGUGCUGCAUCUGCAAGAAAUGUAGAAAAACAGUCCAGACCCAGGAAGAAGACAGAACUGGUUCAGCAUUGUGUAAACCAACAACUCGAAAAACGAAAUCAAAGUCGGAUGCUGUGUAUGAAAAUGUCCCCAAAAAACGAUGAUCAAAUAGGUAUCUACCAGAAUGGAUGCUAGUGCUCACACAGGACCCUGACUCACACCUGUUUGUGUUCACAGUUAUUCU
This is a long non-coding RNA of Sinocyclocheilus grahami, 295 nucleotides long. RefSeq lists it as uncharacterized. The record is from RefSeq and is a predicted model, not a curated record. Lineage: Eukaryota; Metazoa; Chordata; Actinopteri; Cypriniformes; Cyprinidae. The transcript has 3 exons.